GGAGGGGAUGGAAUUUUUUCCUAAAUAGAUCACCUAGAUAUUCUACCAAAUGGAACUGGGUCAUGUAACACCUUUAAGUGAGUCAAAAUUUAAAGUGCCGUUUAAGUAAGUCAGAAUUUGUGCGCUCUGGGACUGGAAAAAUCUCUAUAAAAAACACAUGCUAAGAUCAACCUAAUGAUAAAAUCUUAUUUUUGAGGGUGAUAAUUUUAAGUUGACAGGAUCACAGAUGAUGCUUAUAAAAUACAAAUCAGUAUCAGAGAUAUAAAGAAAAUUAGCCUCAGUCUAGAUAUUUUUAUUUUCUAAGUGCUGACAAGCAUCAUUUUUGUGAUAAAUCUUAUAGAUUAAAAAAACAAAAUAAAUGCAUUUAUCAGCUACCUGAAAGCAUUCCCCCCAAUAUGUUAAUCUGCAUUUUUACAUGGAGACAUAUUUAGAAUUUCUCUUUGUGACAAUACAUCUACGGAAGUGCAAACAUGAGCACUGGAAAACUUCAUGCUUAGCUGCCUAACUGAAGUUUCACUUAGAAAAUUUGUGUGGCGACAAGUGGCUUUGUGAGGGCACAAUACUACAGGUGUAUUUAUGCUUGAAAACUUGCCCUCUAGUGCUAACACUUUCCCUAAGCAAGAUGUGGUAAAAUUAAUCCAAAGAAAUUGUGCACCCUAUUUUAUGGUUAAAUAUGAGGGAAUAUUAUGCUUUACCAAAACAAAUAAUCUUAAUACAUGUUACAUUUUUAGAGCUCUUUACCUUUAGAAAAAUAUUUUU
Gavialis gangeticus (Gharial) is the source of this 759-nucleotide long non-coding RNA. RefSeq lists it as uncharacterized. Lineage: Eukaryota; Metazoa; Chordata; Crocodylia; Gavialidae. The transcript has 3 exons. The record is from RefSeq and is a predicted model, not a curated record.